Molecule: ribosomal RNA, 448 nt
Filed under: uncultured bacterium
Lineage: Bacteria
Description: bacterial SSU rRNA
Rfam family: Bacterial small subunit ribosomal RNA
Source: RNAcentral
AACCAGACUCCUACGGGAGGCAGCAGUGGGGAAUAUUGCACAAUGGGGGAAACCCUGAUGCAGCGACGCCGCGUGAGUGGAGAAGUAUUUCGGUAUGUAAAGCUCUAUCAGCAGGGAAGAUAAUGACGGUACCUGACUAAGAAGCCCCGGCUAACUACGUGUCAGCAGCCGCGGUAAUACGUAGGGGGCAAGCGUUAUCCGGAUUUACUGGGUGUAAAGGGUGCGUAGGUGGCAUGGCAAGUCAGAAGUGAAAGCCCGGGGCUCAACCCCGCGGACUGCUUUUGAAACUGUCAGGCUGGAGUACAGGAGAGGUAAGCGGAAUUCCUAGUGUAGCGGUGAAAUGCGUAGAUAUUAGGAGGAACACCAGUGGCGAAGGCGGCUUACUGGACUGUAACUGACACUGAGGCACGAAAGCGUGGGGAGCAAACAGGAUUAGAUACCCGCGUAC